UUAACUUAACCUAACAUUUUUUUCUUUCUUCUUCACACUUUAUUAGCCGCCUACACUCUUACUUUCUCUCAUUUUCUCAUCUUUCCCAUUUGAGCACCUAGUUUCCUCCGAUGACUUCCUCCGAUGACAAUAACCACCGUAGAUAAGGACGUUGCUGCUACUUCCCUUCAAAGUCCUCUUUCAUCAAAAUCGUUGUUGCUGAGUCGAAGCUUUGGGAGGAUGGAGAUCCGUCUCUCUCACGUUGAACUCGACUCCUCUCUCCCGGUGAACUGGACUCACUAUCUCAGCAUCUCUCUUAGGUAUUCUUCGAUUGGAGUGUUAAGUGGUGGAUUUGAGCAGUUGUUGGCAAAUUGAAAUGGCUGGUGACAGAUUGUAGGCUGUAACAGUUGGUGAUGAAUUGAGCGGCUUUACAAAUUUGCUUGUUGAGGUAUUCCAAUGAUUUUCCCUAAUGAAAAUCUCCAAAUUUGAAGGAUUAGUGAUGAGAUGUCUUGUUUGAGGUAGUUAUUCUGACAUGAGUAUAGCUAUUUGUUUGUUAGUUUGUAUUUUGAGUUUAAUUUUGGGAGAUUUAAGUGUGGUUUAGAGAUUUCACCUUAAAUUUUCCUUCGACAAAAUUUGUAAGCAGCUAGAAUUAUUAUAAGCCUUCUGCUAUAAUUAUUAUUAUUAUUACAGUGUAUAGUUUGUGAUUCAUUGAGUAAAAAAAUGUUGAAUUUAUUUUCUCAGGAAAAUGAGGGUAAGAACAUAGGGGAGUGAAGGUAGAGAAUGUAAUGGAGGCAAUUUAAAGAGGGUGCUGAGGCUGAGAGGUUUUUGUUGGACCACAUAGAGACUUAGAGCAGGCCGAAGACUGUAAUGGAUUACAUUGUUGUCUACACAUCUUUGCUUUCUUUACUAUCUUUUUCCUCAUGGGGUGAAUUUAGUUGAAUUGGAGAUUGUAAGAGUAUUAGGUGAUCUGUACAUGUUUUACUAGAGCAGCUGAAGGAAUUCUCAUUUCAGUUGGGAGUUAAAAAAAAAACAGAAGUACAUAGGCAAAAUGAGAAGGAACACAGGUGGAGAGGUCAUCAAAAGCUUGUUAAACUGGGUUUGUGACCUUUUAUUUUUAUAUUUUAAGGGGUAGAAGUCCAACAAAGAUGACAAUUAAUGAACAGGUGGCAAUUACAUUGAGAGAUGGCUUGGCUUGGCAUGUGAAAACAGAGUAAGAUGAAGUGGUGUUAGUACCGUGAGAGCAGUAGUAUUAGUAGGGUAAGAGUGGUGUGUGUGUGUGUGCAUGGAGUACAGGUUACUGUCGCACUGAAUUAAGCUAUAUCUAUCUACAACUACAGGCUAUGGAUGGGGGGUUUCUCUCUCUCUUUUCCAUGUAGCAAAACAAGACAAUCAAAGUUAAAGAUCGAUUUUCUUGUUUUCUUAUGUACAGAACACAGCCACGUUUACUGACUCACCUUCAAUGGCAUGUAGUACCCUUUAUCUCUCUUCCUUUUUACUGCUGCAUCAUUUACAGUCUUUUCCAAAAGCCUUUCUUUACAUAUAUCGCUGCAGAGGGUGGCCAUGCGGCCUGCUUGGUGGGUUCAGACUUUUAAAGACCCUAUAAAAAUGCUCUCUCUCUCUUCUGUCAAACCCCCUUAGCCACUAGCAAUAUUAGAACUAUAUAUAUAGUAGUACUAGUACUAGUGCUCUUGAGAAAUGUUUGUACUUGAUGAUUGGAAACUGUGAUGAUCAUCAAAUCGACAUUCUUAUUAUUAUUAUUGUUGUUGUUUUUGUUAUAUAUGCUAAACAUUAUUUAAGGCAUUAAUUUAUUGGUCAAUCGUAUCAUCAUUUCUGUGCCUUGUUGAAUUUUGAUCUUAUCACGUUUUGAAAUUCCUACUCUCACCAUUUACAACAGGGACGACUCUCAUCUCGACCACACACGUACACGAUUGAAAAUGAAUACGGAAAUUUUGAAGGGAAGUUUGGGCAGAAAGGAAAGGACUAUGUUAAGUGGGCAGCAAAGAUGGCUUUAAGCCUUGGUGCUGCGGUUCCAUGGGUGAUGUGCAGGCAAACUGAUGCUCUGGAUGUGCAGGCAAACUGGUGCUGGGGUUCCAUGGUUGUAAGAAUGUAUAGGGACAGAUAGAUGCAUGCAAUGGAUACUACUGUGAUGGUUAUAGGCCAAAUUCCUAUAACAAACCCACGCAGGGUGGACUGAUUUAACUCCAGAUGCUGAUCCAUCGAUAUUAACAAUUUGAUGGCACCGCCUCCACCACCUCCAACAGACCAAGCUUUAGAUGCAAAUUUAAGAGAGUCGCCAUCUAUUUCAGUUCGGGAGUCACAAGAUGAUUCUUAGUUUAUUUACAUUAAUUUACUAAGGAACGAACUUUAUGAUUUUUUUUUUUAUUUUGGUAGGGGUAACCUUAAAAUGAUAACUUUAUGACUUAUUUUAGUAUUGAACAUUAUAAAGAAUUUUAGCAUUAAACAUUUUAUUAUUGAA
Long non-coding RNA from Humulus lupulus (European hop), 2455 nucleotides. RefSeq lists it as uncharacterized. Lineage: Eukaryota; Viridiplantae; Streptophyta; Magnoliopsida; Rosales; Cannabaceae. The record is from RefSeq and is a predicted model, not a curated record. The transcript is spliced from 4 exons.